AGUGAACGCUGGCGGUAGGCCUAACACAUGCAAGUCGAACGGCAGCACAGUAAGAGCUUGCUCUUACGGGUGGCGAGUGGCGGACGGGUGAGGAAUACAUCGGAAUCUACUUUUUCGUGGGGGAUAACGUAGGGAAACUUACGCUAAUACCGCAUACGUCCUACGGGUGAAAGCAGGGGAUCUUCGGACCUUGCGCGAUUGAAUGAGCCGAUGUCGGAUUAGCUAGUUGGCUGGGUAAAGGCCCACCAAGGCGACGAUCCGUAGCUGGUCUGAGAGGAUGAUCGGCCACACUGGAACUGAGACACGGUCCAGACUCCUACGGGAGGCAGCAGUGGGGAAUAUUGGACAAUGGGCGCAAGCCUGAUCCAGCCAUGCCGCGUGGGUGAAGAAGGCCUUCGGGUUGUAAAGCCCUUUUGUUGGGAAAGAAAAGCAGCAGGUUAAUACCCCGCUGUUCUGACGGUACCCAAAGAAUAAGCACCGGCUAACUUCGUG
Molecule: ribosomal RNA, 492 nt
Filed under: uncultured bacterium
Lineage: Bacteria
Description: partial 16S ribosomal RNA
Rfam family: Bacterial small subunit ribosomal RNA
Source: RNAcentral